This 536-nucleotide ribosomal RNA is filed under the name Fusarium sp. T19. RNAcentral describes it as "eukaryotic LSU rRNA". The stretch from base 154 to 307 matches the Rfam family "5.8S ribosomal RNA". Lineage: Eukaryota; Fungi; Ascomycota; Sordariomycetes; Hypocreales; Nectriaceae. The record is from RNAcentral.
UGGCAAUUCGAGCUUUAAACUCCCAACCCCUGUGACAUACCAAUUGUUGCCUCGGCGGAUCAGCCCGCUCCCGGUAAAACGGGACGGCCCGCCAGAGGACCCCUAAACUCUGUUUCUAUAUGUAACUUCUGAGUAAAACCAUAAAUAAAUCAAAACUUUCAACAACGGAUCUCUUGGUUCUGGCAUCGAUGAAGAACGCAGCAAAAUGCGAUAAGUAAUGUGAAUUGCAGAAUUCAGUGAAUCAUCGAAUCUUUGAACGCACAUUGCGCCCGCCAGUAUUCUGGCGGGCAUGCCUGUUCGAGCGUCAUUUCAACCCUCAAGCCCCCGGGUUUGGUGUUGGGGAUCGGCGAGCCCUUGCGGCAAGCCGGCCCCGAAAUCUAGUGGCGGUCUCGCUGCAGCUUCCAUUGCGUAGUAGUAAAACCCUCGCAACUGGUACGCGGCGCGGCCAAGCCGUUAAACCCCCAACUUCUGAAUGUUGACCUCGGAUCAGGUAGGAAUACCCGCUGAACUUAAGCAUAUCAAAAGGCCGGAGGAAA